GUGGGGAAUAUUGGGCAAUGGGCGCAAGCCUGACCCAGCAACGCCGCGUGAGGGAAGAAGGUCUUCGGAUUGUAAACCUCUGUCCUUGGGGACGAAAAAAAUGACGGUACCCGAGGAGGAAGCUCCGGCUAACUACGUGCCAGCAGCCGCGGUAAUACGUAGGGAGCGAGCGUUGUCCGGAAUUACUGGGCGUAAAGGGUGCGUAGGCGGCAGGCCAAGUCAGAUGUGAAAUCCCCGGGCUUAACUCGGGUGGUGCAUUUGAAACUGGUCUGCUUGAGUGCAGGAGAGGAAAGCGGAAUUCCUAGUGUAGCGGUGAAAUGCGUAGAUAUUAGGAGGAACACCAGUGGCGAAGGCGGCUUUCUGGACUGUAACUGACGCUGAGGCACGAAAGCGUGGGGAGCAAACAGGAUUAGAUACCCGAGUAGUCC
RNAcentral lists this ribosomal RNA (428 nucleotides) under uncultured bacterium. RNAcentral describes it as "partial 16S ribosomal RNA". It matches the Rfam family "Bacterial small subunit ribosomal RNA", at positions 354 to 796 of the family's 1533-position model. The record is from RNAcentral.